This 495-nucleotide ribosomal RNA is filed under the name uncultured bacterium. RNAcentral's name for it is "partial 16S ribosomal RNA". It matches the Rfam family "Bacterial small subunit ribosomal RNA", at positions 29 to 506 of the family's 1533-position model. The record is from RNAcentral.
AUGCACGCUGGCGGCGUGCCUAAUACAUGCCAGUCGAGCGAACGGACGAGAAGCUUGCUUCUCUGAUGUUAGCGGCGGACGGGUGAGUAACACGUGGAUAACCUACCUAUAAGACUGGGAUAACUUCGGGAAACCGGAGCUAAUACCGGAUGAUAUUUUGAACCGCAUGGUUCAAAAGUGAAAGACGGUCUUGCUGUCACUUAUAGAUGGAUCCGCGCUGCAUUAGCUAGUUGGUAAGGUAACGGCUUACCAAGGCAACGAUGCAUAGCCAACCUGAGAGGGUGAUCGGCCACACUGGAACUGAGACACGGUCCAGACUCCUACGGGAGGCAGCAGUAGGGAAUCUUCCGCAAUGGGCGAAAGCCUGACGGAGCAACGCCGCGUGAGUGAUGAAGGUCUUCGGAUCGUAAAACUCUGUUAUUAGGGAAGAACAUAUGUGUAAGUAACUGUGCACAUCUUGACGGUACCUAAUCAGAAAGCCACGGCUAACUACGU